GUUGUGGUGCGUGGGCUUAAUUGGCUCCAUGGCAUGCGGGAUCUUCCCGGAUCAGGGGUAAAACCUGUGUCUUCUGCAUUGGCAGGCAGUUUCUUUUACCACUGAGCUACUGGGGAAGCCCAGUGCACUUUAUUUCUGAUCUAAUGCUGCCGCUGAUCUGACAGGAGGAGACACAAGAGAUGAGGGUUGGAUCCCUGGAUCAUGAAGAUCCCUGGAGGAGGAAAUGGCACCCUUCUCUAGUAUCCUUGCCUGGAGAAUUCCAUCGUCAGAGGAGCCUGGCAGGCUGUCGUGCGUAGGGUCACAAAGAGCUGGACACAACUGAGCAACUGAGCACACAUGACCUCUACCUUAGGGUGGAGAUGUAAUCUUCAAUGUGUUCAAACAUGGAUCCUUGAGGACUCAAGACCUAGAUAUCUGCCAGAAGUUGUUCCAGGAAUAAUUGCAGCCAUGAAAACGACAGGCUCAUCUGUUGCCAGUUGGGGCCAGGAGAAGCCGUGAGAGCUGUAGAGUUGUAGGGACUGUGUGAGAAACUUGAUAAGUAUUAGUCUGGCAAGCAUUUUCAUCAUUGGGCUGCAUAAACUUUUUUAAACGAGUGAUGUGUACCCAAGGGAUGAUUUCUUUUAAUUUUGCGGUGGUAGGAGUCAGCAGAAUUACCAUGUAGGGACCUUGUCAUUUUGGGGUUAGAUCUGAGUGGGACUGAACUGUCAUAUAGACUUUGUCUCCUACCUGAAGGGAUGGGUAUGGAAGAUUGUGGUGUCGUCGAGGGAGUAAGUUAUCCAUAUGUUGCCAAAGGGCAUCUUGUAUCUGGGCAAUUAAAGGAAAAGGAAGGUGGGAAGGAAAUUUGGGACUGUCCUGGGACGGGGGAAGACCCAGAGUAUUAUGGGCCUCUCAUACGUGGCCUCGAAUGGACUGAUAUUUAAGGGUUUUUUUUUUUUGGUAAGGCCCAGACCUUUAAGAGGGCUAAAGGGAGAAGUUUAGUCCAGUCUUAAUGAAGUUCGAUCGUUAAUUUGGUCAGAAUUUCUUUUAGGACUCGGUUGGCUAUCUCAACCUUACCGGAAGACCAGGAAUGAUAAGGAAUGUUAAACCUCCAAGGAACUUGAAGGGCUCGUGCAAUAUUUUGGGU
Molecule: long non-coding RNA, 1123 nt
Organism: Bos taurus (domestic cattle)
Lineage: Eukaryota; Metazoa; Chordata; Mammalia; Artiodactyla; Bovidae
Source: Ensembl